This 511-nucleotide ribosomal RNA is filed under the name uncultured Glomus. RNAcentral describes it as "SSU rRNA". It matches the Rfam family "Eukaryotic small subunit ribosomal RNA", at positions 548 to 1063 of the family's 1831-position model. Lineage: Eukaryota; Fungi; Glomeromycota; Glomeromycetes; Glomerales; Glomeraceae. The record is from RNAcentral.
CNGGAGGGCAAGUCUGGUGCCAGCAGCCGCGGUAAUUCCAGCUCCAAUAGCGUAUAUUAAAGUUGUUGCAGUUAAAAAGCUCGUAGUUGAAUUUCGGGGUUAGUAGAUUGGUCAUGCCUCUGGUAUGCACUGGUCUCACUGAUUCCUCCUUCCUGAUGAGCCGUAAUGCCAUUAAUUUGGUGUUGCGGGGAAUUUGGACUGUUACUUUGAAAAAAUUAGAGUGUUUAAAGCAAGCUAACGCUUGAAUACAUUAGCAUGGAAUAAUGAAAUAGGACGUUCGAUCCUAUUUUGUUGGUUUCUAGGAUUGACGUAAUGAUUAAUAGGGAUAGUUGGGGGCAUUAGUAUUCAAUUGUCAGAGGUGAAAUUCUUGGAUUUAUUGAAGACUAACUACUGCGAAAGCAUUUGCCAAGGAUGUUUUCAUUAAUCAAGAACGAAAGUUAGGGGAUCGAAGACGAUCAGAUACCGUCGUAGUCUUAACCAUAAACUAUGCCGACUAGGGAUCGGAUGAUGU